RNAcentral lists this ribosomal RNA (438 nucleotides) under uncultured bacterium. Its description in RNAcentral is "bacterial SSU rRNA". It matches the Rfam family "Bacterial small subunit ribosomal RNA", at positions 338 to 795 of the family's 1533-position model. The record is from RNAcentral.
CCUACGGGUUGCAGCAGUGGGGAAUCUUGGACAAUGGGCGCAAGCCUGAUCCAGCCAUGCCGCGUGUGAUGAAGGCCUUAGGGUCGUAAAGCACUUUCGCCUGUGAUGAUAAUGACAGUAGCAGGUAAAGAAACCCCGGCUAACUCCGUGCCAGCAGCCGCGGUAAUACGGAGGGGGUUAGCGUUGUUCGGAAUUACUGGGCGUAAAGCGCGCGUAGGCGGACAUUUAAGUCAGAGGUGAAAUCCCGGGGCUCAACCCCGGAACGGCCUUUGAUACUGGGUGUCUUGAGUUCGAGAGAGGUGAGGGGAAUUCCGAGUGUAGAUGUGAAAUUCGUAGAUAUUCGGAGGAACACCAGUGGCGAAGGCGGCUCACUGGCUCGAUACUGACGCUGAGGUGCGAAAGUGUUGGGAGCAAACAGGAUUAGAUACCCGAGUAGUC